RNAcentral lists this unclassified non-coding RNA (327 nucleotides) under soil metagenome. RNAcentral describes it as "partial contains 5.8S ribosomal RNA, internal transcribed spacer 2, and large subunit ribosomal RNA". The stretch from base 1 to 120 matches the Rfam family "5.8S ribosomal RNA", at positions 35 to 154 of the family's 154-position model. The record is from RNAcentral.
GAUGAAGAACGCAGCGAAAUGCGAUAAGUAAUGUGAAUUGCAGAAUUCAGUGAAUCAUCGAAUCUUUGAACGCACAUCGCGCCCCUUGGUAUUCCGGGGGGCAUGCCUGUUCGAGCGUCAUUUCAACCCUCAAGCUCAGCUUGGUAUUGAGUCCAUGUCAGUAAUGGCAGGCUCUAAAAUCAGUGGCGGCGCCGCUGGGUCCUGAACGUAGUAAUAUCUCUCGUUACAGGUUCUCGGUGUGCUUCUGCCAAAACCCAAAUUUUCUAUGGUUGACCUCGGAUCAGGUAGGGAUACCCGCUGAACUUAAGCAUAUCAAUAAGCGGAGGA